Molecule: ribosomal RNA, 255 nt
Filed under: uncultured bacterium
Lineage: Bacteria
Description: partial small subunit ribosomal RNA
Rfam family: Bacterial small subunit ribosomal RNA
Source: RNAcentral
AGGACGAACGCUGGCGGCGUGCUUAACACAUGCAAGUCGAGCGGAAAGGCCCUUCGGGGUACUCGAGCGGCGAACGGGUGAGUAACACGUGGGCAGCCUGCCCCUAGCUCUGGGAUAACUCCGGGAAACCGGUGCUAAUACCGGAUACGACCUCAAUUGGCAUCUUCUGAGGUGGAAAGAUUUAUUGGCUAGGGAUGGGCCCGCGGCCUAUCAGCUUGUUGGUGGGGUAAUGGCCUACCAAGGCGACGACGGGUA